This is an RNA transcript of Pan troglodytes (chimpanzee), 10545 nucleotides long. It is a transcript of the gene named ZFP41 zinc finger protein, with no coding region annotated. The transcript has 3 exons. The record is from RefSeq and is a predicted model, not a curated record. Lineage: Eukaryota; Metazoa; Chordata; Mammalia; Primates; Hominidae.
GUCAGCGGGCGGGCAUUUCCUGCGGGUGCCUAGGGCCGACGGGGACGCUGGCACUGGUGGGGAGCUGUUGGGGGGUCCCGCAUCUAGGGCUCUCCUUUCCUGCCUCCGGCCCCCGCGAGGGGCGCGCGCCUCUCCCCGCCCUCCAGCAGUCCUGGUAGGGCCCGGGCGCGUCCGCGCUCUGCAGCGGGAGGUCCUCGUCGCCCCUCGUCUCCAGCCAGAUACUCACUGGGCUCCUGCCUGCCGCCUCCGGCCCAGGACGCGCAGCGUCGGUAUGGGCCCCGCCGCCUCCCCGCACCCCGGCGCUCCAGGGAUGUGGCAAGACCCGGCUUUGAGCACCACCCGGGCGCCGGCCCCGAGGCCGACCUAGCUCCGCACGUGGGCCGCGGGGCUCUGCCGUUGAAAGGGGAGCCUCUAACUAGGAGCACGCACGGGACCCUGGCGGGCCCCUCCGCCUGGCUCAGAUGCCUGGCAUCUCAGGCCUUGGCACAGCUAGCAGGCCCCUGGCAGCCCGUGGACCCAGCAGGCUGUUUUAGUGCAGAUUGCCCCUGAAUCUCAAGCCCACUAAUGUUCCAGUCUCUCCAUGAGACCCAGAUCCCUGAAAGUAGUGGAGGGAGGCGCCAGGGUGAGUGAGGUUUUCUAGGCAGCCCUUACCGCCCACGGAUACCCAGAGCUUCAUAUUACAAGUGAAGGGUCCUCCGCCCAGAGAGGCGACGGAGCUACGCUGGAGUUGCACGACAGAACCAGAACCCCAGUCUUUAGGGGUGUGGCAAGCGUGGGUCGCGCUGUUUGUAACUAGCUAAUCACUCCUGUCUACAGGCCUGUGAGGUGAGGCCAAGAAAAUCGCUAUGGUCCAAUCCGUUUUUGUUUUUUGCGUGUGGGGUUUUUUGUUUUGGUUUGGUUUGGUUUUUUUGUUUGUUUUGAGACGGAGUCUUGUUCUGUCGCCAGGCAGGAGUGCACUGGCGCGACCUUUGCUCACUGCAACUUCUGUCUCCUGGGUUCAGGCAAUUCCCCGCCCUCAGCCUCCUGAGUAGCUAGGACUACAGGCACGUGCCACCACGCCCAGCUAAUUUUUUGUAUUUUGGUAGGGACAGGGUUUCACCAUGUUGGCCAGGAUGGUCUCGAUCUCCUGACCUCGUGAUCCACCCGCCUCGGCCUCCCAAAGUGCUGGGAUUACAGGCAUGAGCCCCCGCGCCCGGCCAGUCCACUCUGCUUUUAACAAAUAUUUUAUUUCUCAGGGUGGGCAGCGUGUAGAGAAGUGAGUCAUUCCAGUCUCUGCCGGUUAGCACCUGCCAGCCUAAGUUGAGUCAACAGAGCCGUUAUGGAGAAUGUUCCCUGACCACAGUAUGUGACUAGGAUUUGGAGAUAAAAAAGAUAUGAUCCUCACCUUCAGGAGACCCUGUCGCAUAAGGAGACUGCCAUGUCAGUGACCAGCCACACGUGCAGUGACAAGUGUCUGGAAGAAGGAACAGUGCUGUACAGCACGGAGGACCCCCACACAGGCUCUGGACAGCAGGCGUCAGGUGCUGUACAGCACAGAGGACCCCCACACAGGCCUCGGGCAGCAGCCGUUAGGCUCAGUGGGUUCACAAACCACCCCCCCGCCCCGCCGUGGAGUGGAGUCUGCAGAGAGCCAGAUAGGUUCCCACCGUGCCCUGGAGAGCUGCCGUUUCUCCAGCUCCGCCCUGCCCAUGAGGCAAACAGCUGGUCGACUGGUCUUCUGUGCUGGUUCUUGGUUCUCACCUUUGUUUCCUACCAGAGCUGGACCCCGGCCUCAAACUCCAGCCAGCUUGGGCUGUGAUCCUCUAUCCUGGGCACCAGGGCUCCCCCGCCCACCCCAGCAGAGAUGCUGCUUUAUGCCUGCAUCCUCCCUUAGCACACGUGGCCUUCAUCUUCAGUUCUGGCGCCCACCUGAUCUGCCUCCUCCCACACGCCACCUCUAGAUAGAGCCCUAGAAAGUGAUGUUGGCCUGAAACUGAGUCACAUUCAUCUAAACAUUUUCCUGUAGAAAAGACCAGAUCCUCCUUGUUAAGAUAGGAAAUCUGUAGUGCGUUUAUGUGUUACCUGCACUCAUGAGGGAGAGGAGGGAAGGCCACCAACCUCCUCUCAACAAAGAGAAUUCAAAGUAUUUAUGUGUUGAGUUGUGUCACUUACGACAUGCAUAUCAGCUCCACUUUCUACCUAGGGUCAACCCUGGCCUCAAACUCCAGCCUGGUUGACCAAGAACUAAUACAAAGGGUACGGAAUAUUAUUUCUUAGAAUAUGACUGGGCAUGGUGGCUCCCACCUGUAGUCCCAGCUACUCAGGAAGCUGAGGUGGGAAGGAUGUGACAUGAGGGGGUCUGCUGGCUGCUGUGGUCCAUGGCAGGGGGGCAGCCCUGGUUUCAUGAACUCAGAACCCAGCCUCUGGGGGAUGGAAGCACUCUCCACUGGGCACGUGUGGUCCCUGCAGCCUGUAGCUUCAAAGCACGGUGACUGGUUCCAAGCCCAGUAUGGUGGAGAAGGAGACUAGGGCAGGAACCAGGGGGAUUCGGGGGUGGAGGAGGGAAGCCGCAGGGCAGUUGGUGGGUACAUCAGAUCCUGUGGACACGGUGUGCAGACCCGGAACCCCGGCAGAGGAGCAAGGAUUCCUUGGUGAGCAACUGAUCCCUUCAUCGAGACAAGGAAAGGCCGGGAGAGAGUCAGCACCAAGAGGAUGGUGGCCCUCGGCCUCCUGGUGCAGAGCAUCAGUCCCACGCUGGGAGUGUGGAGAGGUGCGUGGGAAGCAAGCCAUUGAGGAAGUGGGGCCAACAGAGAGGUCAGCAGCCCCUUAGCCCUCACGCUUCCAAGGAACAGAACGAUGGAGAAGCCUGCAGGCAGAAAAAAGAAGACGCCGACCCCGAGGGAGGAGGCAGACGUGCAGAAGAGCGCGCUCAGAGAGGAGAAGGUGUCCGGGGACAGAAAGCCACCUGAGAGGCCCACUGUGCCCAGGAAGCCCCGCACAGAGCCCUGCCUGAGUCCUGAAGACGAAGAGCACGUCUUUGAUGCCUUCGACGCUUCAUUUAAAGAUGACUUUGAGGGGGUUCCCGUGUUCAUUCCUUUUCAGAGGAAGAAACCCUAUGAGUGCAGUGAGUGUGGGCGGAUCUUUAAGCACAAGACAGACCACAUUCGCCAUCAGAGGGUCCACACUGGAGAGAAGCCCUUCAAGUGUGCGCAGUGCGGGAAGGCCUUCCGGCACAGCUCUGACGUCACCAAACACCAGAGGACUCACACGGGAGAGAAGCCCUUCAAAUGCGGGGAGUGCGGGAAAGCCUUUAACUGCGGUUCCAAUCUCCUGAAACAUCAGAAGACGCACACCGGGGAGAAGCCCUACGAAUGCACGGACUGUGGGAAAGCCUUUGCCUACAGCUCCUGUCUCAUCCGCCAUCAGAAACGCCACCCUCGGAAGAAGCCCUGAGCCGGGGCCAUCUGCGGACUCGGGCCCUGCAGUGCGAGCCUCGCCGGACACCUGCUCCGUGGCUUCCUCGUGUUCAGCGUCUGAUGGGGGCGCGGGGCCGUGUGCACUGUGUUCCGUGCUCUGGGGACCCCUGGAAAAUCAGCCCAGUCAGAUGUGGGAACGUGCCAGCGAGGGAGAGACCUUUCCACUGCAGAGAGUCUCUCUGAUCAAGACACCGCAGUGAUGGAGAAGCCACCAGAGGCUCCUUGCAGCCACAGAGCAUUUUCCAAGUUCCCGAUGGCGAACGGGGCUCAGCACCAGAGACCAGGGGGUAUUCACUGCCAUCCAUUGGACGUGUUUGGGUCACCUCAGAGCACCCAGCAGGAGAGGCUCCUGGUGUGGUGGGCAGCCCAGCACUUCCCGCUGCCGCCUGCCUGUGAUGUCCACUCUGCUUAAGCCUUUCAUCUGCCGCUGAAGGCCCCAGUCUGGACUCUGCCCUCUGGGUCCCCGAGCUCUGCAGCGAGCCCUGGGACCACUCGUCCCUGCCCAGCCAGCUUCAGUGCCCAGGGCCGCUUGUCCCUGCCCGGCCUCUGUGCCCCAACUGUGCUUGGUCCUCUGGCUUCUCUCCUCCUGCUGGAGCGCCAGUCCCUGAGCUCAGACCCCCGUCCCCGGAACUGGGCCACACCACGUGCCCUCUUGGCCCAGGCUUCCUCCCAGAGAGGCGGCCUGACUUACCUGGACGGACUUGGGACAAAGGUUCCUCAGGACCUUGGACACCACCACCUGCUGAGCUUCCCGUCCCAGCCACGCGGUGGGGCCCCUGGGGUGCCCUCGGCAGCUUCAGUCCAGCCUGCAUCUGCCCCUCGGCCUUCCGACGUGGGCAGUGGGCCCCAGCCCCACAGACCAGCCCAGCAUUCAGGCUGGUAGAGCAGAUCACCCCCAAAGCAAGAAGUUCCAGAUGAAAUAUGCAUAAGAAGCAGCCUCAAAACUAACAAAAAAGAUUCGCACAUUCCUCAGUUAGAGGAGGAGCAGAGAUGAAGAAAAGGAGAAGAAAAGCGCUGGAAAGAGAAGAAAAGGAACCUCCUUCUGUGCAGCAGGCUCCUGGCCCAGGGAGCGCGGUGUGCGGCAGAGUGCGUGCAGGGAAGCAGCCUCUGAAAUAGUGCAGGGAGGCACCCUGUGAAAUCGUGCAGGGAAGCACCCUGUGAAAUCGUGCAGGGAAGCACCCUGUGAAAUCGUGCAGGGAAGCAGCCUCUGAAAUCGUGCAGGGAAGCAGCCUCUGAAAUCGUGCAGGGAAGCACCCUGUGAAGUCGUGCAGGGAAGCACCCUGUGAAGUCGUGCAGGGAAGCACCCUGUGAAGUCGUGCAGGGAAGCAGCCUCUGAAGUCGUGCAGGGAAGCAGCCUCUGAAGUCGUGCAGGGAAGCAGCCUCUGAAGUCGUGCAGGGAAGCAGCCUCUGAAGUCGUGCAGGGAAGCAGCCUCUGAAGUCGUGCAGGGAAGCAGCCUCUGAAGUCGUGCAGGGAAGCAGCCUCUGAAGUCGUGCAGGGAAGCAGCCUCUGAAGUCGUGCAGGGAAGCAGCCUCUGAAGUCGUGCAGGGAAGCACCCUGUGAAGUCGUGCAGGGAAGCACCCUGUGAAGUCGUGCAGGGAAGCACCCUGUGAAGUCGUGCAGGGAAGCACCUUCUGAAGUCGUGCAGGGAAGCACCCUGUGAAGUCGUGCAGGGAAGCACCCUGUGAAGUCGUGCAGGGAAGCACCUUCUGAAGUCGUGCAGGGAAGCACCCUGUGAAGUCGUGCAGGGAAGCACCCUGUGAAGUCGUGCAGGGGAAGCACCCUGUGAAGUCGUGCAGGGGAAGCACCCUGUGAAGUCGUGCAGGGGAAGCACCCUGUGAAGUCGUGCAGGGAAGCACCCUGUGAAGUCGUGCAGGGGAGCACCCUGUGAAGUCGUGCAGGGAAGCACCUUCUGAAAUCGUGCAGGGAAGCACCCUCUGAAAUGCCUAGAAAUAGCUGCCGGGCUUUCACUUGGUUCCCAAAUUUCUUCAAAGGUCAAAACCAUCACAGUGGGCAACUUAACACCCCAGUGUUCACUGUCCUCAGGCCACUGCAGAGCCAUCCUAGUGGGGCAGUGGGCGCGGGGCGGGGGCUCCUGACUCCGGUGAGGUCACCCUGGAGGGGAGUCCCAGGAAUCAGCCUGAUGUUCAGAAUGCCUUCCUGGCAUCUCAGAAGUGUACUGGGGGAGACAUGAGGACCUUUCAGCCAAGUGUCAGCGUUCUUAUUGCAGGAGAACAUUAAAGCCACAACCCAGAAACUUCUCAGGAGCAUGGCGCACCCACACCAGCCCCGGGCUCCGCCUGGACAGCACCUCCUGGGCCACCCUGACCAGCAGACACCAUCCUUCCAGCCUCUCUUGGCCACCCGGACCAGCGGGCACCACCCUCCCAGCUUCACGCGGCCACCCUGACCAGCAGGCACCAUCCUUCCAGCCUUGCUCAGUCACCCUGACCCAGAGGGCUGCCCUGACCAGCGGGCACCAUCCUCCCAGCCCCACUCAGCUGCCCUGACCAGCGGGCACCAUCCUCCCAGCCUCACUCGGCCAGCCGAGCUCUGUAGGCCUCAGAGUGCAGAGAACCUCAAAUGUUGUGACUUUGCUCUGCUGCAGGGACCUGCCAUGAAGUGUCCCUUGUGCGAGCAUUUUGAGAGCUAUGCCGGCAUCCGUCCCCGCAGGCCCCAUCCCUGAGCCAUUUCUCAGGAGAGCAGGAAGGGAGCAGGGAGAGGGGUGCUCCCAGCCAGCCCCGGAACCAGAGGUCUGGGGACGCAGCCGGCCAGCCCUCCUUGUCUGGGCCUCUGUUUCCUCUUCGACACAGGGAAGCAGGGAGGGGCCGAUCAGCGACUUAGGCCUGUUGGCUGUGGUGGGGUCCACCUGCGUUUCUGGGGAGCCCACGGACCCUGGGGUGUACCUGGGUUUCAUUCCCAGUGACCUCUCCUAUUGGUCCCCAUUUGGGGCGCUGAGAUGUGAUCGUUUCUUUCCUGAGAAUAAGCUGACGUAAAAACAUGCUGGGGAGGAAGAUGGGCCCUGGGGGCAGCGAGCUGCGCCUCUGCACCGGGAGAAAGGCCGUGUCCCCAGAGCUGAGGCGGUGGUGGGCAGGGCUCCUGUGAAGCCGGGGCAGGGCAGGGUGUCUCUGAGGUCAGUGAGGAACAGCUGAGGUCCAGGGACGCGGGAAGGAUGGGGUGAACUCCGGGAUGGGGCCGGCAGGGAGCCUCAUGCUUACAGACCCUGGUGUCGGCACUCUCCUGGUGUCCUCCGCAAACCUAGCCACGUGGUCAGGGAGCCCGGGCCUAGCAGACGGCCCCCACCUUGACAGAAUCCCCAGGGUCGUGCGUGGCGGUGGGGGCGACUUCACAGCCGAGACCGGGCCUAACGCUGCUGUCCCGCAGUCACCCCUGCAGGCCGCUCAGGGCAGGGCUCUGGCCUGACGGGGGUUCCUGGACACGCCUCUGAGCCGGCAGCCCCUACCCACACCCCUGCAUCUGCCACGCCUGUCUCCAGCAGCCCCUGCCCGCACCCGCACCCCUGCACCUUCCACGCCCGUCUCCGGCAGCCCCUGCCUGCACCCGCACCCCUCACGGCUGUUUCCGGCAGCCCCUGCCCGCACCCGCACCCCUGCACCUCCCACGCCCGUCUUGCCCUGGGGCCCAGGUGCAGGUCUGUGAGGAGGGCAGCCCCGUGCUCCCGUGGCCACCGCUCAGCCAAGUGGAUUCAGCGAGGGUUUUCAGUGUUUGUGCCUGUGUCCCCGUGUGCCUGUUUCCUGGUGAGGCUGGACGCCUGGCAUGUCUGAACACUCACAUUCCCCAGGCAUGCAUGUGCAGCCGCCGCCGCCACCCAUGUACUGUGGCGCUGACCCCUCCUGUAACAGCUGUGGUCUUGGCCUCUCGUGUUGGUGGCAGAUGUCCCAUUUCCCAGUUACUUUCUGUUGUCCAAAAGUUUAACUGUCCUGCCUGCCAAAGCUGCUGAGCAUUACUCUGAUAGACCAUCAGUCCUUGGUAAGUGUCCUGUGCAUCUGGGAUAAGCAUCCGUUUGUUUUCAGCUGCGCUUUCUGUGACUUGCUCUGCGUGUGUCCUCGGUCCACGUGGGCCGUUGCGCUGGUUCCCAGCCUGCCCGACACACUCACUGCGACGCCUCCCUUGCCUACUGCUUGCUGGCUUCUGUGUUCUCUGCAGUAAACAUUGAUUUCUGACUCGAGUGCUGUCUUCAUUGAGCUCUCUGCACUCUGGGGAUGCAGUCAGCGACCCCACGAAGGCUACCGGCUUCCUCCCAGGGAACAGUGCAGGUGCUGCUUCCCAGGACCACAGGACCCUGGCUGGUCGCUGCCUGUGAUGGGUCUCCGCAAGACCACUCCCCAUUAGCCAGACUCACAGGAGACUGACACAUAAAUGAGAAAGUUGUUCACUAACUCACAAUGGGAGCAACCCUUUGCAGUGCGGAAAUGCCCUCAGCCUUUCUGGCCCCGGAUACCUGGGAAGCUAAGGGUUCAUUAGGUGGCCUAGUGCCUGCACUCAGGAUGCCCCAGAAGAGGCCCCGGGGGUCCUGAACGCCUUCUUCAGGCCCUGUCUUCAGCCCUUCUCCAGGCCCUCUGAGUUCCAAACAGCACUCACUUUUGUCUGGUCCUCUGUUCCCUGGCUCGCACCUCCUUCAUCAGGGCAGUUGCUCUCAACCAGGGGUACUUCUGCCCCUGGGGCCCACUCGGCAAUGUCCGGGACCGUGUUGGCGGUCACAGCUGGGUGGGGGCACCACCGGAAUCUGGUGUGCAGAGGCGGGGGUCCUGCCCAGACGCCAGAGGUGCUGCAGGUGAGAGAUACAGAUUUAGACCCUGUGACGACAAAGAAAAGGACGGGAAAGGUGGCUCUCAAGGCCCCAGGGAACCGCCCAGAGACGCCUGCGGUUCCAGAAGCUGGAAACGCAUGGAGCGGUGCAGGAACAAGCCUCUGCGGUGGCUGGAGAUGUCGGGAUGGAGACUGGUCAUGCCUUCACACACUUAACCAGAACCCUCCCAGCUCUCCCUCCCCCGCAACCAAGCCAGCAAGGCGACACGGUGGCUGGCGCUGGCGAGAGGCAAGUGUGCUCGACUGCCUUUCUCCACUCUUGAGGACAACACCCAGAGUGGCCCCGUCUUUGCCCCACCAGCCCAGGCCUAAAGCUUCCUCAUCAUCUGCAUCCCAGCCUGGGACUUAGGCGGACUUCUGCCAGCUGUGUCACGUGCAGGGGACUGCAGCCACUGACCCCCUCUCCCUUCUGUCCUGCUCUUCUCUACCCCACAGCCCCAGGCAGAUCUUCAGUGCAUGUCAGCUCUCCUCCCUCCCUCCCUCCCUGCAGACCCCUGUGCCCUGCAGUGCCCUGAGGAUGACGUCUGAGCCCCCAGUGGAGGUGUCAAGGCUGUUCGGUCUGUCCCCGUCCCGUUCUGUCCUCCCCUUGCUCACCACACUCCCCUGCCUGGUCUUCCAAACUCGAACCCCAGGCAACUCCUUCAGGCAUCAGACCUCUGCCCCUGCGCCCCUCCUGCCUCUCUGUGAUGGGCUGGCCCUUCCCUUCUGCUGCCUCCUCUCCCUCCUUCCUGCUCCCACCCCUAUCUCUCUCUGAUGCUGCCCCUUAGAGAAGCCUUCUUGGACCUUAAGCCUGGCCACUCGUCUAAGCCCCUCAUCUCCAGGUGUGGUCUAGGAAGUGCUCUCAGCCUCUCUACUCCAGUGGCUCGGGGGCUCUGACCAGCGCUCCUGCCAGGGAAGCUUUGAAGGUUCCCACAGGGACCCCUAGAGACAAGGGCACUGCCCGUCCAGAUGGCACCCUCACCCCAACCCCAGCAGCACUGGCUGGAGCAGGCCAUGCCUGUGUGGGUAUCUGAACAGGCACUGGAUUCCCUGAUCUCAACAAAAGAAGCCCAUGGAGGCCUUUUCUAAUCCACAGUCCAAGAGGACAAAUCAAGACAACAGGCUGGGGGAUCUGGCUGUGGGCCGACUCCCACGUCUUAGGACCAGGGGCUCUGGGGCUGUUUGGGCUGGAACCCCUCCUCCCAGCAUAACGAACACCAGCUCAUUAUUUACAGUGAAUACCCAACAAAACCCUGCUCGAGGUGAGGAUCGGGGACCUGCUGCUCCAACAGACCAGACUGGCUGCUGGCUCUGAGCUCAUUAAAUCAGCAACCUUUGCACUCCCUCCAAAGCCCUGCCCGUCACCUUCACCCCUUCCUGGUGGAGGAAGGGGAUUCUUCCACUCUGAUUACACCCGUUCCCAUCUCCCUUCACUCCUGUGAGCUGGCCAGGUUGAGGAUUUGUCCAAAGGGCCUGGGGAGUGAGACGCUCCACAGCUUCUCAUGGGUCAGCUGACAUGGACGGUAGCUUCGGUGACUCAGCUUCCCGUGAUGCGCUGGAUGCACAGGGGGCUGGUGACAACAGCCUCUGUGUGACAGAACAGCCUGUGCGUGUGACAGGACGUCAAGAACUACAUACAAAGACACAGCUGCCCCCAAAAAUGAGUCCGCACAGCCCGGUGCAAUGCAGCUGCAGCCUGUCAUCGAGUCAAUUGCAUUGUCGUCCGCCGCUCUCCUGAUGUAGUUCUGUGUUUGUCCAUUUUGCACUGCUAUAAAGGAAUACCUGAGACUGGGUAAGUUGGUGAGCGCCUGUAGUCCCAGCUACUCAGGAGGGUGAGGCAGGAGAAUGGCAUGAAUCCGGGAGGCGGAGCUUGCAGUGAGCCGAGAUCGCGCCACUGCACUCCAGCCUGGGCCACAGAGCGAGACUCCGUCUCAAAAAAAAAAGAAAAGAAAAGAAAAAAGAGGAGCUGGGCGCAGUGGCUCACACCUGUAAUCCCAGCACUUUGGGAAGCUGAGGUGGGUGGAUCACCUGAGGUCAGGAGUUCAAGACCAGCCUGGCCAACAUGGCGAAACCCCGUCUCUACUAAAAAUACAAAAUUAGCUGGGCGUGGUGGCGCAUGCCUGUGAUCCCAGCUACUUGGGAGGCUGAGGCAGGAGAAUCACUUAAACCUGGGAGGCAGAGAUUGCAGUGAGCCGAGAUCGCACCAAUUGCACUCCAGCCUGGGCAACAAGAGCGGCAACUCCAUCUCAAAAGUAAAUAAAGAACAAAAGGGGUUUGCUUGGC